GACGAACGCUGGCGGCGUGCCUAAUACAUGCAAGUAGAACGCUGAAGAGAGGAGCUUGCUCUUCUUGGAUGAGUUGCGAACGGGUGAGUAACGCGUAGGUAACCUGCCUGGUAGCGGGGGAUAACUAUUGGAAACGAUAGCUAAUACCGCAUAAAAUGGAUUAUCGCAUGAUAAUCCAUUGAAAGGUGCAAAUGCAUCACUACCAGAUGGACCUGCGUUGUAUUAGCUAGUUGGUGGGGUAACGGCUCACCAAGGCGACGAUACAUAGCCGACCUGAGAGGGUGAUCGGCCACACUGGGACUGAGACACGGCCCAGACUCCUACGGGAGGCAGCAGUAGGGAAUCUUCGGCAAUGGACGGAAGUCUGACCGAGCAACGCCGCGUGAGUGAAGAAGGUUUUCGGAUCGUAAAGCUCUGUUGUAAGAGAAGAACGAGUGUGAGAGUGGAAAGUUCACACUGUGACGGUAUCUUACCAGAAAGGGACGGCUAACUACGUGCCAGCAGCCGCGGUAAUACGUAGGUCCCGAGCGUUGUCCGGAUUUAUUGGGCGUAAAGCGAGCGCAGGCGGUUAGAUAAGUCUGAAGUUAAAGGCUGUGGCUUAACCAUAGUACGCUUUGGAAACUGUUUAACUUGAGUGCAAGAGGGGAGAGUGGAAUUCCAUGUGUAGCGGUGAAAUGCGUAGAUAUAUGGAGGAACACCGGUGGCGAAAGCGGCUCUCUGGCUUGUAACUGACGCUGAGGCUCGAAAGCGUGGGGAGCAAACAGG
RNAcentral lists this ribosomal RNA (765 nucleotides) under uncultured Streptococcus sp. Its description in RNAcentral is "bacterial SSU rRNA". It matches the Rfam family "Bacterial small subunit ribosomal RNA", at positions 28 to 776 of the family's 1533-position model. The record is from RNAcentral. Lineage: Bacteria; Bacillati; Bacillota; Bacilli; Lactobacillales; Streptococcaceae.